GGUUUAUUGGAUCGUCUCGUUAUAUGGAUAACUGUAAUAACUCUAGAGCUAAUACAUGCCACGAAGCCCUGACCCCGCUCGUCGGGGAAUGGGUGCACUUAUUAGAACAGAAGCCAACCAGUCAUCUUAAGCACAUUCUCUCCUCGUGGGGGAGUGUGUGGACUGUAGCACUUCUGGUGACUCUGGAUAAUUGUUACAGAUCGCAGUCGGCUUUAUGUCGGCGACGGGUCCUUCAAAUGUCUGCCCUAUCAACUUUCGAUGGUAGGUGACCUGCCUACCAUGGUGAUAACGGGUAACGGGGAAUCAGGGUUCGAUUCCGGAGAGGGAGCCUGAGAAACGGCUACCACUUCCAAGGGAGGCAGCAGGCGCGCAAAUUACCCACUCCCAGCACGGGGAGGUGGUGACGAAAAAUACCGAUGCGGGACUCAUUAACGAGGCUCCGUAAUCGGAAUGAGUGGACUCUAAAUCCUUUCACGAGGAUCAAUUGGAGGGCAAGUCUGGUGCCAGCAGCCGCGGUAACUCCAGCUCCAAUAGCGUAUAUUAAAGUUGCUGCAGUUAAAAAGCUCGUAGUUGGAUCUCGGUAGCAUUGUUGCCUGCUUAGUUAUCAUGUGCUAUGGCGUGCAUUUCAUCGUGUGUAUCUGUAUCAUUUAAGUUCGCAAGAGCUUGAAUAUGUGGUUGCCACGGUGGAUGUACACAAAAACUGUAGUGCAUUGAGCUGGUAUGGCGAUGGUGUCACCUUUGAGCCAUGUCUGUGAUCAUCCGAUCACAGGUGUACUCGUGUGUCGCGCAGUGUUCUGCACUAGUUGUGGAGCCUUGCCGCCUCGUGUACAUGCCAAUGAAUGCCCUUAAAA
Molecule: ribosomal RNA, 851 nt
Filed under: Wardium arctica
Lineage: Eukaryota; Metazoa; Platyhelminthes; Cestoda; Cyclophyllidea; Hymenolepididae
Description: SSU rRNA
Rfam family: Eukaryotic small subunit ribosomal RNA
Source: RNAcentral